Molecule: ribosomal RNA, 465 nt
Filed under: uncultured bacterium
Lineage: Bacteria
Description: bacterial SSU rRNA
Rfam family: Bacterial small subunit ribosomal RNA
Source: RNAcentral
GACCAGACUCCUACGGGAGGCAGCAGUGAGGAAUAUUGGUCAAUGGCCGGAAGGCUGAACCAGCCAAGCCGCGUGAGGGAGGAAGGCGCAGAGCGUCGCAGACCUCUUUUGCCGGGGGACAAAAGGCCGGACGGGUCCGGUUCUGAGGGUACCUGAAGAAAAAGCAUCGGCUAACUCCGUGCCAGCAGCCGCGGUAAUACGGAGGAUGCGAGCGUUAUCCGGAUUUAUUGGGUUUAAAGGGUGCGUAGGCGGAAUGCCAAGUCAGGGGUAAAAUCGCGGGGCUCAACCUCGCUCCGCCGUUGAAACUGGCGUUCUUGAGUGGGCGAGAAGUAUGCGGAAUGCGUGGUGUAGCGGUGAAAUGCAUAGAUAUCACGCAGAACUCCGAUUGCGAAGGCAGCAUACCGGCGCGCAACUGACGCUCAUGCACGAAAGCGUGGGUAUCGAACAGGAUUAGAUACCCGUGUA